CCUACGGGAGGCUGCAGUGGGGAAUAUUGGACAAUGGGGCGAACCCUGAUCCAGCCAUGCCGCGUGUGUGAAGAAGGCCCUCGGGUUGUAAAGCACUUUCAGUGAGGAAGAACGCCUGGUGGUUAAUACCCAUCAGGAAAGACAUCACUCACAGAAGAAGCACCGGCUAACUCCGUGCCAGCAGCCGCGGUAAUACGGAGGGUGCGAGCGUUAAUCGGAAUUACUGGGCGUAAAGCGCGCGUAGGUGGCUUGAUAAGCCGGUUGUGAAAGCCCCGGGCUCAACCUGGGAACGGCAUCCGGAACUGUCAAGCUAGAGUGCAGGAGAGGAAGGUAGAAUUCCCGGUGUAGCGGUGAAAUGCGUAGAGAUCGGGAGGAAUACCAGUGGCGAAGGCGGCCUUCUGGACUGACACUGACACUGAGGUGCGAAAGCGUGGGUAGCAAACAGGAUUAGAUACCCCAGUAGUC
Molecule: ribosomal RNA, 465 nt
Filed under: Vreelandella stevensii
Lineage: Bacteria; Pseudomonadati; Pseudomonadota; Gammaproteobacteria; Oceanospirillales; Halomonadaceae
Description: partial 16S ribosomal RNA
Rfam family: Bacterial small subunit ribosomal RNA
Source: RNAcentral